RNAcentral lists this small nucleolar RNA (110 nucleotides) under Nannospalax galili (Upper Galilee mountains blind mole rat). Lineage: Eukaryota; Metazoa; Chordata; Mammalia; Rodentia; Spalacidae. The record is from RNAcentral.
AAUGGGGCUUCUCCAAACAUCAUGGGAAACACUUCAUACAGUAACAUUUGUGGUUUGCUUAACUCACAGGACUGUUUCUUAGGCCUGUGGGAAGGAACUACAAGACAGCC